AAUACGUUCCGUGGUGAUUUGGGCCGGCCGGCUUGCAGCCACGUUAAAGAAGUUGCUAAAAAGGCCGGGUUGCAAGACCC
Molecule: non-coding RNA, 80 nt
Filed under: Stappia sp.
Lineage: Bacteria; Pseudomonadati; Pseudomonadota; Alphaproteobacteria; Hyphomicrobiales; Stappiaceae
Also listed under: 1 other name
Source: RNAcentral